UACGUAGGGGGCGAGCGUUGUCCGGAAUGACUGGGCGUAAAGGGCGCGUAGGCGGUCUGGUAAGUUAGGAGUGAAAGUCCACUUUUCAAGGGAGGAACUGCUUUUAAUACUGUCAGGCUUGAGUGCAGAAGAGGUAAGCGGAAUUCCCAGUGUAGCGGUGAAAUGCGUAGAGAUUGGGAAGAACACCAGUGGCGAAGGCGGCUUACUGGGCUGUAACUGACGCUGAGGCGCGAAAGCGUGGGGAGCGAAC
RNAcentral lists this ribosomal RNA (250 nucleotides) under uncultured prokaryote. Its description in RNAcentral is "partial 16S ribosomal RNA". It matches the Rfam family "Bacterial small subunit ribosomal RNA", at positions 524 to 773 of the family's 1533-position model. The record is from RNAcentral.